AGCCGCCAUUCCUUCCAGCCUCUUCUCCCAGUGCCUUCCUUCCUCCCAUCUGGCUGGGCGCAUCUCGGCGUUCCGGAACGCGACCACGACCGAGGGCUGACCCGUCGAGGCAUCCUUAUGCUCGUUGACCUGUCGGGCACUCCUCCUUUUCUGUCCAUCGUGCCGGCCUCCAGGAGGAAGACUUCUCCGGCGAGCCCGAGGUAUAGGAGCUCCGAGGCCGUAGCAAGGCAAGGACGGCCGCCAUGAAGUGCAGACCGUCCCCAACAACCGGUGGUGCCGCGCUGGGCCACCGGAGGUGUGGGGCUGCGUCGACCCGGCGCCGAGGAGAUGUGUUGACCCGUCGCGGAGAUCUGUGUGGUGGUGGCCCCUCCCAUCGAGGGUUCGCUGCGAUGGGCUCCUAUUCCCGAAUGGCGGCGGUCAGCGUUUUCCGCACCCACCGUGCGUGCUGGAGGUCAAGGGCAUAGGGCAGUGACAUGCAUGCUCACCAUCCUCAUCCACCAUUGCUUUUUUUAGUGUACACGGACGGUGGGGGUACCAUCCAGAUGGAGUGCGCAAGAUGUCCCGCGAGCGCUGGCCGAUCUCCAGCGAGUGCUUUAUGAGUAAUUUGUAAAUUUUAUUUUGGGGCGCAUUUUUCUUUUGGUGUCAUUUGUCUUUUUGUCAAUUGUAUCUAUUUUUCUUUUUUGACGGGAAUUGUAUUUUUGCUGAAUGAUAGUAUUAUAAAAAUAUUAAUAAAAUAACUUAUGUGUCGAAAUUUUUAA
This is a long non-coding RNA of Triticum aestivum (bread wheat), 758 nucleotides long. RefSeq lists it as uncharacterized. The transcript has 2 exons. Lineage: Eukaryota; Viridiplantae; Streptophyta; Magnoliopsida; Poales; Poaceae. The record is from RefSeq and is a predicted model, not a curated record.